RNAcentral lists this transfer RNA (72 nucleotides) under Oryctolagus cuniculus (rabbit). It matches the Rfam family "tRNA". Rfam says of the family: Transfer RNA (tRNA) molecules are approximately 80 nucleotides in length. Lineage: Eukaryota; Metazoa; Chordata; Mammalia; Lagomorpha; Leporidae. The record is from Rfam by way of RNAcentral.
GGUGCUGUGGCAUAGCGGGUAAAGCUUCUGCCUGCAGUGCUGGCAGUGCUGGUUCAAGUCCCGGCUGCUCCA